GGAAAAGGCUCUUCAGUCUUUCAUCCUCCAUUUGGUUUAAUUACAGUCUGUUGCCAUGGUGCUGGGGUAGUUCCUUCUCUGAAAAUAGAGUUCCAAGAUGCGUCCCACAUGGCACCCUAUUCCCUAUAUAUAGUGCACUACUUUAGACCUGGACCCUAUUCCCUAUAUAGUGCACUACUUUAGACCUGGACCCUAUUCCCUAUAUAGUGCACUACUUUAGACCUGGGCCCUAUGGCACCCUAUUCCCUAUAUAUAGUGCACUACUUUAGACCUGGGCCCUAUGGCACCCUAUUCCCAAUAUAGUACACUACUUUAGACCUUGGGCCCUAUGGCACCCUAUUCCCGAUAUAGUGCACUACUUUAGACCUGGGAGUCUGUUUCCUACAGUCUUGAUUCUCAAGGGGAGUCAGUUGACUGUGACAGUGUCACCUUCAUGGUAUAGGCUAUAGUCCUCUGGGUCUCUAGGGCUUGUGUUACACAUACAGGCAGGGAGGGAGACAGGCAGGCAGACAGUUAGACAGAGAGGCAUGCAGGCAAACAGGCAGUUAGACAGAGAGGCAGGCAGGCAAACAGACAGUUAGACAGAGAGGCAGGCAGGCAAACAGGCAGUUAGACAGAGAGGCAUGCAGACAGGCAGGGUGGAAGGCAGGCAAACAGACAGACAGAGAGGUAGGCAGACAGGGAGACAGGCAGGCAGAGAGGAAGACAGACAGGUAGUAGGGUAGCAGGCGGACAGGCAGUUGGACAGAGAGACAGGCAAUUAGACAGCCAGACAGGGAGAGAGGCCGAUAGGGCGGGAGAGAGGGAGAGAUUUAGGGAGGGAAGGAGAAAGAGAGAGAUGCAGGAGGGUAGGCAGGGGGCAACAUAUCACGUGGUGGAGUCCCUCACAGGAGGACGCUGUCCUCUAAUCACCAUGGUGCCUUGUGGGGAAUGGGGAAGUGGCUCUUCUUUACAACCUUGAUUUGCCUAUCUACACUAUCACACACACACACACCGGCCUAUCUAUCCGUCGAUCCUGCGGCUCUAAACAGGCCUUCGCGGUUGAACACAGGCGCUCUGCCACCAGUGCUUUCAAGGAGCUGCAGUAGUAACCC
Long non-coding RNA from Oncorhynchus tshawytscha (Chinook salmon), 1094 nucleotides. Lineage: Eukaryota; Metazoa; Chordata; Actinopteri; Salmoniformes; Salmonidae. The record is from Ensembl.